AAUCAAGUGGAGGACAAGUCUGGUGCCAGCACCCGCGGUAAUUCCAGCUCCACUAGCGUAUAUUAAAGUUGUUGCAGUUAAAAAGCUCGUAGUUGAACCUCUGUCUGGGGCUAGUUUUGGCUUUGGUCAGGCUAGUUCUAGGCAUCCGCCUACAAGACUUAGAGGGCAUUCAGUUGUUCACUAGGAGGAGUAGGCAUUUUACUUUGAAAAAAUUAGAGUGUUUAAGGCAGGCAAUCGCCCGCAUAUAUUAGCAUGGAAUAAUAGAAUAGGACACUUUUCCAUUUCGUUGGUUAUUGGAAUCGUGUAAUGAUUAAUAGGGACAGUUGUGGGCAUUUGUAUUUAAUUGUCAGAGGUGAAAUUCUUGGAUUUAUUAAAGACAAACUAACGCGAAAGCAUUUGCCAAGGAUGUUUUCAUUAAUCAAGAACGAAAGUUAGGGGAUCAAAGACGAUCAGACACCGUCCUAGUCUUAACUAUAAACUAUUCCGACUCAAUGUUUGACUGGCUUAUAUAACCAGUUGAGCGUUGUAUGAGAAAUCAAAGUCUUUAGGUUCUGGGGGGAGUAUGGUUGCAAAGCUGAAACUUAAAGGAAUUGACGGAAGAGCACAACCAGGAGUGGAUUCUGCGGCUUAAUUUGACUCAACACGGGGAAACUUACCAGGUUAAAACAAUAGUGGGAUUGACAGUUUGAGAGCGCUUUCUUGAUUGGUUGGGUGGUGGUGCAUGGCCGUUCUUAGUUGGUGGAGUGAUUUGUCUGCUUAAUUGCGUUAACGAACGAGACCUUAACCUGCUUACUAGACUGGCGAUCAUCAAUCGUUAGCUCUUCUUAGAGGGACUUCGGUUGUUUUAACUCCAAGGAAGUUUGAGGCAAUAACAGGUCUGUGAUGCCCUUAGAUAUCCUGGGCCGCACGCGUCAUACAAUGACUAGUUCAGAAAGUUUUCUCCUGACCCGAAAGGGGAUGGGUAAUCUUGAUAAUACUAGUCGUGUUAGGGAUCGAUCUUUGCAAUUAUAGAUCUUGAACGAGGAAUUCCUAGUAAGUGCGGUUCAUCAGACCGUACUGAUUACGUCCCUGCUCUUUGUACACACCGCCCGUCGCUUCUACCGAGUGGGUGGUCCGGUGAGAUAAUUGAACUUCGCAGGUAACUGAGAGGAAAGAUUAUCAAACCUAUCCACCU
RNAcentral lists this ribosomal RNA (1174 nucleotides) under metagenome. RNAcentral's name for it is "SSU rRNA". It matches the Rfam family "Eukaryotic small subunit ribosomal RNA", at positions 542 to 1774 of the family's 1831-position model. The record is from RNAcentral.